Molecule: long non-coding RNA, 7257 nt
Filed under: Daucus carota (carrot)
Lineage: Eukaryota; Viridiplantae; Streptophyta; Magnoliopsida; Apiales; Apiaceae
Description: long non-coding RNA (DCAR_LNC001576)
Source: RNAcentral
UGAGAAAAACUUACUAUUUAUGGUAAUGUAAAGAAAUGAGAGGGACAUCCAAAAAUAGUAACUGUAAACAAAUGAGAGGGAUAGAGAGGGAGUAGUCUUUUGGGUCUAGUUCAUUCGAGUCUUCCUCUAUAUUGGACAUUUGGACGCUGCCUUGGUUUUGUGUAACUAUAUACGAUCACGCAUCUAACAAGUGAGAUCAGGCCCAGCCCAAUUUAUGUCCAUCCUUGACUCCUUGUGAUCGAAUUAAAUGUUUUGGACUUGCCGGGUAAUGGGAUACUGUAUACAUACUUGAGCCCACUACGUAAAGUUAUGAAUGUGUUUCAGCCCAUUGUCUGAUUGAAUAAAUUCGAUAAAAUAAUAUUUUCCUUAUAAAAGAUUUAACGGUACUUGGUUCCUCCGUCUUAAGCUGAACUAAUUCAAACUUCAAAUAAAAUAAUAAAUAUUUGGUGGAUGAAUAAUUUUGAUGAUAAUUUCUUUUUUCCUAUCGCCUUAAUAUAAAUAGUAUAUCGCAUGGUCUAAAAUAUCUCGGUAAAUCACACUCGCUAGGUCAUCUUUCUUAAUUAUAACCCUCUUCACCAGGACGGGUACUAAAGAUUCAGAUAUCAUAACUGAAUUUUUUAAAAAAAGAAAUUUUUAUAAAGAAAUUUUUUAUACAUAUAUACUCAAAUCAUGACAUUAAUAUAUAUAUAUAUAUAUAUAAUAUUAAAAUAUGUAUUUAUAUUCAAAUAAACGUCCAAAUAUUAAAAUUAUAUACAUUCAUAAAUUUAUUAUAUGAUACACAUAUAGAUUUUGGUACCUCUCUUUAUGAGAGUGGAACCAUAACCAAUCUUGUGUUCGCUUUGUCCGUGCCAACUGCAUCUCUCGCAUGUAAUUUAAAUCUUCAGAUUAUGAUAUAUACUUGAACCAGUGAAUAAAGUCGCGCUUCGCGGCGGCGCUAUAAAUUUUGUAUAAAUUUUGAUAAGAAUUAAUAUUAUGAUAGUAUAAAAAUUAUUUUGAGUCAUCUUCCAGUUAAACUUAUCACUAAUAAAAAAAAUUAUAAUUAGUAUAAUUUAUUUUUAAGUGGUCAUCCUGUCAAACACAAUACUAUUAAUCUAUAAUUUUUAUUUUAUGAUAAAAUUAAAUAUUACAGUAUAAUUUAGAUCAAAAUUAAUUUGAGCCGCUCUUUUGUCAAACACAAUACUAAUAAAAAUUAUUCUAAUUAUGAUAAAAUUAAAGAUUAUAAUUGGACAAAAAUUAUUUUAAACUGUGGUCCUGUUUUAACAAAUAAUAUAUUAUAACAUCGAUAAAAAAAUUAUUUUAGCCGCUUUCCCGUCAAACAUAAUACUAAUAGAAAAAUUAUUAUUAUUUAGAUAAAAAUUAGUUUAGGCCGCCUCCCGCACCCGUCAAACACAAUACUAAUCAAGAAUCAUUUACAUUAUCAUAAAAUCAAUAUAUGAUUCCUAUUUUAUAUAUCCUAUUUUAUUUUAUUAAUUAUUUUUAUUUUGUGAAUCUUAUUUAUUAGUUGAAAAUAAUUAUUCUUUUAUGUUUCCAAUUUUUUGCUAUUAGUUUUUUCUAAUGAUUAUAAUCUUCACAAUCCUUUAUUUUCUAUUCGAAAUUUAAGAAAAUUAUAAGACUAAAUUGAAAAUAAAUAUUGUACGUAUUACCUUACAAAUAUUAAAUAUAAGUUGUAUUUUAUCUAUGAUUGUUAGUUUAAAUAAAUAUAAAGAUUAUUCUAAUUAUGAUAAAAUUAAAGAUUAUGAUUGGAUAAAAAUUAUUUUGAACCGUAGUCCCGUUUUAAUAAGAAAAUAUAUUAUAAUAUAUAUAUAAAAAAUUAUUUUAGCCACUUUCCCGUGAUACAUAAUACUAAUAGAAUUUUUUUCAUUGUUUAGAUGAAAAUCAGUUUAGGCCGCCUCCUGUGGCCGACAAACACAAUACUAAUCAAGAAUCAUUUACAUUAUCAUAAAAUCAAUAUAUGAUUCCUAUUUUAUAUAUCCUAUUUUAUUUUAUUAAUUAUUUUUAUUUUAUGAUUCCUAUUUUUUAGUUAAAAAUUAUUAUUCUUUUAUGGUUCUAAUUUUUUUUUUGCUGUUAUUUUUAAUGAUUAUUAUUUUUACAAUCCUUUAUUUUCUACUCGAAAUUUAAGAAAAUUAUAAGAGUAAAUUGUCUAAACGGAUUUGUAGCACUAAACUCACGUCGUUCCAUAAUGGUCAAGAAGAUAGCAUCUCUACCAUGAAAACAUCUUCAACAUCUUCACAACCUCAUUCAAAUAGUAUGCAUGGACUUACGACCAAUCUCGAUAAUAGUUGGAUUCAAUCUUAUAAUUUUCUUAAAUUUUGAAUAGAAACUAAAAUUAUAAUUCAAAAAAUCAAAUUCACGGAUCUUAAAGGUAAUACAAUUCUUUUUUUUAUUGGAUUGUAAAAAAAUAAAUUUUUUUUCUUAUAAUUUUCUUAAAUUUCGGAUUGAAAAUAUAAUUAUAAUUUAAAAAAUCAGGUUAAAGGAUUUCAAUGUGCAUCGUUUAAAUUAGUUUGGGCCGCAUCCCGUGCCCAUCAAACACAAUACUAAUCAGGAAUCAUUUACAUUAUUAUAAAAUCAAUAUAUGAUUCCUAUUUUAUAUAUCCUAUUUUUUUUGUAAUUGUUUUAUGUAUCCUAUUUUAUUUGUUAAUUAUUUUUAUUUUAUGAUUCCUAUUUAUUAGUCAAAAAUUAAUAUUCUUUUAUAGUUCUAUUUUUUUGCUAUUAGUUUUUUUUAAUGAUUAUCAUCUUUACAAUCCCUUAUUUUCAAUUCGAAAUUUAAAAAAAAAUUAUAAAACUAAAUCGGGAAAAAUAAUUAUACGUAUUUUCCUUACAAAUCUCAAAUAUAAAUUGUAUUUUAUCUAUGAUUUUUAGUUUAAAUAAAUAUAAUCCUAUUCCUUUUAGGAUUCCUAGAUAAGAAAAGAAUUGUAAUUGUAUUAACUUUUGGAAUCCUUCAACUUGAUUUUUUUAAAUUAUAAUUAUAUCUUUUAUCCGAUUUAAGAAAAGUAUAAGGAAAGAAUUUUCUUAUUUUUAGAAUCGAAUAAAAAAAGAAUUGUAUUACCUUUAAUAUCCUUGAACUUGUUAAUAACUCAUGAAUCAUUAAUAAAUCAAAAUUAUUUAAAAAUACAUUUUAACUUUUAAGUCACUGGAUCAUGUUAAGGUAAAUCUUGACUGAAUUAAAUUUUUUUAAGCAUUUUUUAAUUGAAAUUAUCCAUAAAUUAUUUUUUUAUCAUAAAAAAUUAAAUUUAUCCAAACAAAUAUUUUAAACUUGAAAAUUUUAAUUUCAGUCAAACUGCCUCAUAUUUCAGAAGUUUCAUGUCCCCAUUUUAUAAUAAAAAAAUAAGUAAUACUUAAACAAUUAUGUUAUAUACAUGAUUGAAUUUUAGAAUAUUUAUAUAUAUAUAUAUAUAAUUUGAAAAGAAUUAAUAAGAUAAGACUAUAAUUUUAUGUCUUUCGAAAAUAAGAAUUAUGUUAUAUUAAAUAAAUAAAAUCAUACUCCUUUUACGAAUCUUGAAUAAGAAAAAGAAUUGUAUUACCUUUGCAACCCUUGAACCUCAUUUUUAAAUUUUAAUAUUAUUUUUCAUUCAAAAUUUAUGAAAAUUAUUUGUUAGAUAUAUGAUUUGAUAUUUUUUUAAUAAAAUAACACUAUAAGUUUUAUAACUUUUGAAAAUAAGAAUUGUAUUUUUAACAUGAUUUUUAGGUUAUAAUUUUAUUUUCAAUUUAAAAUUUAAUUAAGAAAAUUAUAAGACUAAAUUCAUUAAUUCUAGGCACGUUGAGUUAGUAUUAUAUUAUUCUUCUAUAUAUCUUAUUGAAAAUAAAAUUUUAUAAUAUAAAUUUCGACUACAUCUUCUAUAUAUCUUAUCGAAAAUAAGAAUUGUACAUAUUACCUUACAGAUCUUAAAUAUAAAUUGUAUUUUAUCUAUUAUUAUUAGUUUGAAUAAAUAUAAUUCUAUUUCUUUUAGGAUUACUGAAUAAGAAAAGAAUUGUAUCAUCUUUAGAAUUCAAUAAGAAAUACUAAAUAAAAAAAAAUGGUAACAUCUUUAGAAUUCAAUAAUAAAAGAAUUGUAUUACUUUUAGAAUUCUUGAACCUGAUUUUUUGAAUUAUAAUUAUAUUUUCUAUCCGAAAUUUAAGAAAAAUCAGAAGACUGAAUCGAACAAUUCUAGAGACGCCCGCAUCCUCCUUUAUAUAUAUAUCUUAUCGAAAAUAAGAAUUGUACAUAUUACCUUACAGAUCUUAAAUAUAAAUUGUAUUUUAUCUAUUAUUAUUAGUUUGAAUAAAUAUAAUUCUAUUUCUUUUAGGAUUACUGAAUGAGAAAAGAAUUGUAUCAUCUUUAGAAUUCAAUAAGAAAUACUAAAUAAAAAAUAAUGGUAACAUCUUUAGAAUUCAAUAAGAAAUACUAAAUAAAAAAUAAUGGUAACAUCUUUAGAAUUCAAUAAAAAAAGAAUUGUAUUACCUUUAGAAUUCUUGAACAUGAUUUUUUGAAUUAUAAUUAUAUUUUCUAUCCGAAAUUUAAGAAAAAUCAGAAGACUGAAUCGAACAAUUCUAGAGACGCCCGCAUCCUCCUUUAUAUAUAUAUCUUAUUGAAAAUAAGAAUUGUACAUAUUACCUUACGGAUCUUAAAUAUAAAUUGUAUUUUAUCUAUUAUUAUUAGUUUGAAUAAAUAUAAUUCUAUUUCUUUUAAGAUUACUGAAUGAGAAAAGAAUUGUAUCAUCUUUAGAAUUCAAUAAGAAAUACUAAAUAAAAAAAUAAUGGUAACAUCUUUAGAAUUCAAUAAAAAAAGAAUUGUAUUACCUUUAGAAUUCUUGAACAUGAUUUUUUGAAUUAUAACUAUAUUUUCUAUUCGAAAUUUAAGAAAAAUCAGAAGACUGAAUCGAGCAAUUCUAGAGACGCCUGCAUCCUCCUUUAUAUAUAUAUAUUGAUGAUUGAUUGAUGGCAAAACGUCGUAAUGAUCUAUGCUUAGAGAGCGGGUCGUGCUGUUAUGAGAUCAACAGAGAGAUGAUUCAUAAUCAACAAUUAUAAUUAAAAAUAAAAAAUAAUUAACGCACAAGUAACAACAAACCUAGCUAGAUGGAGAGGCUCUACAAUAUAUUAGAAAAAAUUUUGAUUUCCCAUAUAAAUUAAUAUAUUCAUUUAUAAUACCUGUUACGUGUUUUAAGCAAAGAAAACUAUUCUUUUGGAAGAAAAUUAAAGUUUUCGAAACAAAGUUAGACAGAUAAAAUGCAUUACAAUGAUAUUCAUAUGAUGGGUUUUUUUUUCUUUUUUCUUUUUAAAAAUACGGAGGGACAUUUGUCUGGAUAGAAAAGGGAAAAUUUUAUUUUCUUACAUCAAUAAAAAGCGUAGGCAACCCAAUCUAAUUUAAAUAAUAUUAAUUAUUAACGAUUAUAUAAUAUAAUCGUUAAUAAUAUUACGAACUUGCAAAAUGGGUUGGUAUUGGGUCUUUCUUUCACACUUGGCGGCAUGGGGAUAUAAUGACUGCCUGCCGUAUUUGUUGUUUGGUUUAAGAAUGUUAUCAAUGCAUCAAUCUCUAUCCAUCACCUUCAAUUCUUGUUUGGUGGUGAGCACACUUUAUCUCUGAUGUCAAUACUUGAAUGAGUGUUCGUCACAUGGACUCGCUAGUUUCACCACCAUUCAUUUCGCCUAGGUCUGCUGUUUUCCAUAACCGAUUUAAAGUGACUACUCCUAUAUAUCUUCAAAUCAACGCAACAUGCAAGCUCUUACAUAUAUGCCAAUAAUGGGGUUUCCUACCUAUUUUUGAUCGCUUGAUGACUACUCUACCCUCAUCAUGUUAACGAUUUAAGACAUUUUUCGGUGGUACAAUUAUAUAUUUGAAAGAAAAAUAAAUUAUUCAGGGAUAAGUUAAGUGAUCAUAUCUAGAAGCUCUUAGUAAUAAGAGAGGAAUUAGGAAAGUUGUUAAUAUUUUAAAGAUCCUAGUGGGAGGCUAUUGGAGAGCAAGUUUUGUUGCAAAUUUAUGAUGUUACAACUAAGAAAUUAGUACGGAGUAUAUACAACAGAACUCACUAUAUCACUCUCGAGCAAAUUAUAUUAUCUGUUCACAAAAAAUGGGGCGUGACUCCAAUAUAAAGAACUCACAUUUAGUGUUAAAUUUGGGAUUAGAUUAGAAUGAGAGUGGGCGACAGCCAAAUGCAUACCAUAAUAGUGGGACUAUAGCGCUCAGUGGUGUAUUUCCUACUGGACCAUAUCGCAAUGUGGGGACUCGGCCUUCUCUUUUCAUGUGCAUACACUCAUUUCAGACCCCAGCAAUUCCUAUAAAUAGGCGUUUCAUUUCCUGCUAUUGCCAUCAGAGUUGGCUUUUGAAUCCUAACUUAUAAGUUAUUCAAAUGGCAACUUAUAAAGUUUCGAGUUUGGUUUUUGUUGUUUUGUUAGGUCUGGGGAUAUGUUCUGCUACUAGAGCUCUUUUUGGUUAUGAGGAGAGUGUAGCUGGAUAUGCACAUGGGGGAGUGGAUGUUGGACUUAGUGGUGGUGGCGGAGGGGGUGGUGGUCAUGGCGGUGGAGGAGGAGCUGGGUAUGGAGCGGGGGGAGAGCAUGGUGCGGGGUAUGGAAGUGGGGGUGGUGAAGGCGGUGGUGCUGGGUAUGGAGGUGGGAAAGGAGUUGGAGGCGGCGGUGGUGGAGGUGGUGGAAGUGGUGGUGGAGGUGGCGGUGGUGCUGGUGGUGCGCAUGGUGGUGGAUAUGGAGGUGGUGAGGGUGGUGGUAGCGGCAGUGGUGCUGGAUAUGGUGGUGCAGGGGGAGCUGGCGGUGGAGGAGGAGGUGGUCAUGGUGGUGGUGGCGGUGGAGGUUCUGGUGCUGGGGGAGCUGGAGGGAGUGGGUAUGGAAGCGGUGGGGGUUCUGGUGCAGGUGGUGGCUCAGGAGCAGGAGGAUAUGGCGGUGCAGCUGGGGGUGGAGGCGGUGGAGGCUCAGGUGGCGGCGGUGGAGGUGGUUACGGAGCAGCUGGAGGUGAGCAUGGGGCUGGUUAUGGAAGUGGCUCCGGGAGUGGAGAAGGUGGUGGACACGGUGGCUAUGCACCAUGAAAAAACAAUGCAUGCACUAAUAUAUGAAAAAUAAGAUUUAAUACAAAUGCGUGUAAGUUAUUGAUGUAUGAUGCAAGCAUCCAUGCAAAUGCUGCAAUAUGAAGAGCUUCAAACUCACUCUGUAAUCUCUUCUGAUCACUAAAGUUCUACUAUAUUUUUACUUAUCUCCUCUGCAAUAUCGAACAUAAAUUGAACUUACAAUAUUUAUUUAAGAACAGUACUUGUGAUAUCUCAUCAUAACCAUCC